CGGCGAGUGAAGAGGGAAAAGCCCAAAUUUGUAAUCUGGCUCUUUUAUAAGGGUCCGAGUUGUAAUUUUGAGAACUGUUUUCUGUGUUGGACCAUGUACAAGUCUGUUGGAAAACAGCAUCAUUGAGGGUGAUAAUCCCGUACAUGAUAUGGACUACCAGUGCAAUAUGAUACAGUCUCUAAGAGUCGAGUUGUUUGGGAAUGCAGCUCAAAGUGGGUGGUAAAUUCCAUCUAAGGCUAAAUAUAGGUGAGAGACCGAUAGCAAACAAGUACCGUGAGGGAAAGAUGAAAAGAACUUUGGAAAGAGAGUUAACAGUACGUGAAAUUGUUAAAAGGGAAACAUUUGAAGUUAGACUUGUUAUUAUUGGUUCAGCUUCUUUUUUUAAUUAGGAGUCUAUUCCAAUGGUUGACAGACCAGCAUCAAUUUUUGAGUGUUAGAUAAGGGUCUUGAGAAUGUGGCAACUUUGGUUGUGUUAUAGCUCUUGGCUUGAUAUAAUGCUUAGGAUUGAGGAACGCAGUGAGCUUUUUAUUAAGUGGAUUCUCUUUUGAAUCUUCAUCACUACGGAUGUUGGUGUAAUAGC
This 580-nucleotide ribosomal RNA is filed under the name Coleosporium pedicularis. RNAcentral's name for it is "eukaryotic LSU rRNA". It matches the Rfam family "Eukaryotic large subunit ribosomal RNA", at positions 87 to 638 of the family's 3401-position model. The record is from RNAcentral. Lineage: Eukaryota; Fungi; Basidiomycota; Pucciniomycetes; Pucciniales; Coleosporiaceae.